Passer domesticus (house sparrow) is the source of this 822-nucleotide long non-coding RNA. RefSeq lists it as uncharacterized. The record is from RefSeq and is a predicted model, not a curated record. The transcript has 3 exons. NCBI's taxonomy places the organism in Eukaryota, Metazoa, Chordata, Aves, Passeriformes, Passeridae.
UUGGAAAGGAUUACACAGAGAAACAGGCCAAGGUUUCCCCAUGCUGAGGGUGUCCUCCCUCCCCAGCGGUUCAGCCCUCCCAGUUACCCUUUCACAGUGGGUUUGUUCCAUUACUGUGCCAGAAAAGUGUGUUGGUGACAGAAAAAGCAGAGUGUGUCUGUGAUCUUUGCAGGCUGCCUGGCAGAGCCGGCUCUGUCCUUGCCAUGCUGCCAUGAGGGGCUCUGACACCUCGGCUCCCAGCCUCCAGAAACGCUCUGUGUUCACACCAUGCUCCUUUUGUUCAGACUAUUUCCACAGACUCCAUGUUUGUGAAGCCCAGGAAUCAGAACUCACUUUUCUGCAGAAAACCGGAGCCUGGCUGAGUGUGCUGAUGCCACGUGGAUUUUCCCUGAGCCUACCUUGAUGAGAAGGAAACCUUCAGCAGCUUCCCUUAGCAGCCAUGCAGAGCCUGGGGCAGAGCUGUGGGGUGGAUUUGCCACAGAGCCUGUGCUGGACCUGCACUGUCUGAUGUGGAGCCACAGCAGGAGCCUCAGCUGCAGAGGAUGUGCCCACCUGGAGUGUCAUGGUGUGUGUCACCUCCUGAAGGAUGGCUCCAUCCUCCCCAGGGCUAACCUGGCUGGUGCCCUGCACAGAGGGGAUACCCACACUACAGCACAUGAACCAGCGCAAGGGAGCUCCAGCUCAGCUGCUGCUGCUUCAGGCCAGAAGACCCCAAACCUGAUGGUUUUGACAUAAAAAAAGAUGAUUUCACUGAUGAAAUUGGCCUGAAACUGGUCAUUGUUGGCCUGAUGAAGGUGCAUUUCAAUAAAGGUAGCUCCUGGA